This is a long non-coding RNA of Seriola aureovittata, 377 nucleotides long. RefSeq lists it as uncharacterized. Lineage: Eukaryota; Metazoa; Chordata; Actinopteri; Carangiformes; Carangidae. The record is from RefSeq and is a predicted model, not a curated record. The transcript has 3 exons.
CUGCGUCGUCGCGGCGGCGUUUAAGCUCCUCCAGCUUGCGCUCUGCCUCUAGGCGGGCAGCGUCGUCCUGGUCGUCGCCCGCGGACACCUCGGGGGAACGCACACUGCCGCGACUGGGACAGAUCCACAAAACCACAGGUUUCCUGUGUUGUUUGGGAGCCGCUUCCUCAUGAAACCCUCCGUUCUGCUUCCUCUGCUCCUCCCUCUCCUCCCUGGCCCCGCCUCUCUCAUCCACCUGCACAGAAACAACCGCCCGGACAGUGAGCAAACAUGCAAUUGCAAGCUCCUACGGAAAAGGAUUACAGCGGUUCUUUGAAGUAGAGACCAGGGAUCAGCUCAACAAUGUGCAUCACAAAGUCAAUAAAUCAAUGACCAUA